Molecule: ribosomal RNA, 253 nt
Filed under: uncultured bacterium
Lineage: Bacteria
Description: partial 16S ribosomal RNA
Rfam family: Bacterial small subunit ribosomal RNA
Source: RNAcentral
UACGGAGGGUGCGAGCGUUGUUCGGAAUUACUGGGCGUAAAGCGCGUGUAGGCGGUUUUCUAAGUCUGAUGUGAAAGCCCGGGGCUCAACCCCGGAAGUGCAUUGGAAACUGGGAGACUAGAGUACCGGAGAGGAGGGUGGAAUUCCUGGUGUAGCGGUGAAAUGCGUAGAUAUCAGGAGGAACACCGGUGGCGAAGGCGGCCCUCUGGACGGAUACUGACGCUGAGACGCGAAAGCGUGGGGAGCAAACAGG